Callithrix jacchus (white-tufted-ear marmoset) is the source of this 1732-nucleotide RNA transcript. It is a transcript of the gene named cyclic AMP-dependent transcription factor ATF-2-like, with no coding region annotated. The record is from RefSeq and is a predicted model, not a curated record. NCBI's taxonomy places the organism in Eukaryota, Metazoa, Chordata, Mammalia, Primates, Cebidae.
AAAAUGUGAGCAAGGGUGGUUUGUAAACACGGCUGUGCUCAGGCCUCACGGGCAACCGAAAGAAUCCUGAACUAGUGACCUGGAAGGGAUACUAGAUGGAAACUUGAGAAAGGACUGCUUACUUGAUAAAAGCUAAGGCAUUCCUGGAAGCGGCAUAAAUAAAGCUCAUGGCCCACCAGCCAGAAAGUAUUCUUGCCACGAGAAAAAGAAUGUGAUAAGUCAUUCAACUUAUGAAAUUCAAGUUACAUGUGAAUUCUGCCAGGCAAUACAAGGACCUGUGGAAUAUGAGUGAUGACAAACCCUUUCUAUGCACUGCGCCUGGAUGUGGCCAGAUCAGACCCUAACACCAACAAGAUUCUUGAAAAACUGUGAAGAAGUGGAUUUGUUUAAUGAGUUGGCAAGUCCAUUUGAGAAUGAAUUCAAGAAAGCUUCAGAAGACAACAUUAAAAAAAUGCCUCUAGAUUUAUCCCCUCUUGCAACACCUAUCAUAAGAAGCAAAAUUGAGGAGCCUUCUGUUGUAGAAACAACUCACCAGGAUAGUCCUUUACCUCAUCCAGAGUCUACUACCAGUGAUGAGAAGGAAGUACCACUGGCACAAACUGCACAGCCCACAUCAGCUAUUGUUCGUCCAGCAUCAUUACAGGUUCCCAAUGUGCUGCUAACAAGUUCUGACUCAAGUGUCAUUAUUCAGCAGGCAGUACCUUCACCAACCUCAAGUACUGUAAUCACCCAGGCACCAUCCUCUAACAGGCCAAUUGUCCCUGUACCGGGCCCAUUUCCUCUUCUGUUACAUCUUCCUAAUGGACAAGCCAUGCCUGUUGCUAUUCCUGCAUCAAUUACAAGUUCUAAUGUGCAUGUUUCAGCUGCAGUCCCACUCGUUCCACCAGUCACCAUGGUGCCUAGUGUUCCAGGAAUCCCAGGUCCUUCGUCUCCCCAACCAGUACAGUCAGAAGCAAAAAUGAGAUUAAAAGCUGCUUUGACCCAGCAACAUCCUCCAGUUACCAAUGGUGAUACUGUCAAAGGUCAUGGUAGUGGACUGGUUAGGACUCAGUCAGAGGAAUCUUGACCACAGUCAUUACAACAGCCAGCCACAUCCACUACAGAAACUCUGGCUUCUCCAGCUCACACAACUCCAUAGACCCAAAGUACAAGUGGUCAUCUGAGAAGAGCAGCUAAUGAAGAUCCUGAUGAAAAAAAGAGAAAGUUCUUAGAGCAAAAUAGAGCAGCAGCUUCAAGAUGCCGACAAAAAAGGAAAGUCUGGGUUCAGUCUUUACAGAAGAAAGCAGAAGACUUGAGUUCAUUAAAUGUUCAACUGCAGAGUGAAGUCACCCUGCUGAAAAAUGAAGUGGCACAGCUGAAACAGCUUCUUCUGGCUCAUAAAGAUUAGCCUGUAACUGCCAUGCAGAAGAAAUGUGGCUAUCAUACUGCUGUAAAAGAUCAUAGUUCAGAAGACAUUUCAGUGCCGAGCAGUCCACAUACAGAAGCUAUACAACAUAGUUCGGUCAGCACAUCCAGUGGAGUCAGUUCAACCUCCAAGGCAGAAGCUGUAGCCACUUCAGUCCUCACCCAGAUGGCGGACAAGAGUACAGAGCCUGCUCUUUCACAGAUCGUUACGGCUCCUUCCUCCCAGUCACAGCCCUCCGGAAGUUGAUUAAAAACCUGCAGUACAACAAUGUUAGCUACUCAUUAGUGACUUCAAAGGGAAAUCAAGGAAAGACCAGUUUCCAUUUAU